This 327-nucleotide unclassified non-coding RNA is filed under the name Hevea brasiliensis (rubber tree). The record is from RNAcentral. Lineage: Eukaryota; Viridiplantae; Streptophyta; Magnoliopsida; Malpighiales; Euphorbiaceae.
GAAGCGAGAAGCUGAGCCAUUUGGGUCUUAAGGACAACUCUAGGAUUCUUGCUAGGCGGGUUUCUACUGAAGAGGGCAAGGCACUUAAAGAUGAAUUGAUGGCUGAGGAAGAACGCUCUACCAGGCUUUCUCGAGUCAAGGCAGCUGCUACUGCUCUAGCUAACAGGCAUGCUAAUGGUUUUCUCCCAGUUGAAGAUUUCAAUAUAGAACUUGAAGAUCAAAGUGGACAGAAAGUUAAUCUUGGGUCUGAAACUGACCAAAGGGCAAUCAUGAUGGGCCUUAUGCUUCAUGCAAAUGCAAAGCAGCUGAUAAGAAAGGGAACUUACA